Long non-coding RNA from Oncorhynchus tshawytscha (Chinook salmon), 3734 nucleotides. The record is from Ensembl. Lineage: Eukaryota; Metazoa; Chordata; Actinopteri; Salmoniformes; Salmonidae.
CGGAGCGUCACCAGGGUCAAAACAUGAACAUCUACGGAGCGUCACCAGGGUCAAAACAUGAACAUCUACGGAGCGUCACCAGGGUGAAAACAUGAACAUCUACGGAGCGUCACCAGGGUCAAAACAUGAACAUCUACGGAGCGUCACCAGGGUGAAAACAUGAACAUCUACGGAGCGUCACCAGGGUCAAAACAUGAACAUCUACAUAGCGUCACCAGGGUCAAAACAUGAACAUCUAUGGAGCGUCACCAGGGUCAAAACAUGAACAUCUACGGAGCGUCACCAGGGUCAAAACAUGAACAUCUACGGAGCGUCACCAGGGUCAAAACAUGAACAUCUACGGAGUGUCACCAGGGUCAAAACAUGAACAUCUACGGAGCGUCCCCAGGGUCAAAGUGAGCCGGCCGUGUUAUCGGCUCAGAUAUGGUGGAAUUUUAAUUAUUGUCCACAUUCUAAUUGUGCCCACAUUUUCAGACAGGUGUAGGUGAUUAAAAGACACAUUGUGAUCUGAUUGGGAUCUGAUCUUCCUGAUCACCUCCGGAGGAAGUCAGACACGCACUGUGUCUUACAAAUGUAGUCGGAUCUGGACGGACAGUGAAACCAUUUAAAUCCUCAUUAUCCAGUCCUCCAAAGUCAUUGACAACAGUGGCUAAUGGCACCAUAUUGUGUGUUAAAAUGAAUAAAUAUUAUUUUGAAACAAUAGCUGUCAAAUAAUUUCCAAUCAUUUGCAUACAGGUAGGGACCAGACAAUGAGACACAUUUUAAUACCAGGUGUCGACAUAUUUCUGAAAAUGUGGGCACAAUCAGAAUGUGGACAGAUAAGCACAAAGGACGCAUGUUAGCGGAAGGUGUAAACAAGGCUAAAGUGACAAUGGGCCAGGCUAUGAGAUGUGCAUGACUUUUCAUUGUUCAUUGUUGCUGUCCGUGUAACAGUUAAAGGGAAUCUAUCCCCAUUGACUACGGUAUGAAGACUGAGUCUGCAUCUCAAUUGGCACCCUAUUCCAUUGACCGUGGUCAAAAGUAGUGCACUACAUAGGGAAUAGAGUCAAAAGUAGUGCACUACAUAGGGAAUAGAGUCAAAAGUAGUGCACUACAUAGGGAAUAGAGUCAAAAGUAGUGCACUACAUAGGGAAUCUAUCCCCAUUGACUACGGUAUGAAGACUGAGUCUGCAUCUCAAUUGGCACCCUAUUCCCUUGUCCGUGGUCAAAAGUAGUGCACUACAUAGGGAAUAGGGUCUAAAGUAGUGCACUACAUAGGGAAUAGGGUCUAAAGUAGUGCACUACAUAGGGAAUAGGGUCUAAUGUAGUGCACUACAUAGGGAACGGGGUCUAAAGUAGUGCACUACAUAGAGAAUAGAGUGCCAUUUGAGAUCCAACCUGACUCUUGACUGAGAGCUGAUAUGAACUACACUGAUUUCUGAAUUAUUUUAGUAGUUUAUUUUUCAAACAAAAUGUAAGUAGCCUACACAAUAAUUAGAUGUGUUUUUAAAUCACUGGACAUCAGCGAGAGGUAUAACAAACCCGCUACACCAUGCAAGUUAAAAAAACAGGUGCUGCAAAGUGGAAGUGCAAUAUCUGGAGCAUAUUUCAAAUAUGGUGUAAUUGCAGACCACAAAUUGGGGUGUUUCUUGAUGUGGGUGUUCCGGGAUAUCAGGAAACGCCCAUUGAUACCUGCCAUUGGUCAGUUUCGGUGUUAUGAGACUGAUGGUGUGUCAACACAGACAAUUUAUAGACAUAAAGGUUACGAUAGCUUGAUAUCAAGAAACGUCAUUGUCUGAAAACCCAGCUAAUUACGUUCUGACAUUUCACCCUUCUCCAUAUUUCAGACUUGUUUCAGACAUAUUUCAGACAUAUUUCAGACAUAUUUCAGACAUAUUUCAGACUUGUUUCAGACAUAUUUCAGAGAUUGUUUCAGACAUAUUUCAGACAUUUUUCAGACAUAUUUCAGACUUGUUUCAGACAUAUUUCAGAGAUUGUUUCAGACAUAUUUCAGAGAUUGUUUCAGACAUAUUUCAGAGAUUGUUUCAGACAUAUUUCAGGGCACAUUUCAGUUGUUUUUCUGAAAUAUUUUUUUGACAUAUUUCAGAUAUGUUUCAGACAUUUUCAAGACAUUUCAUUACAUGGGUUAUUGUUAGAUUAUUACUUUUUUUAAACGUGGGAGCUGGCUCGGCGUCACUCUGCGAGAGUUUGUCACAUGAUUCAUUUUCCAUUGCAGCAGCACAGGCAUUUUGAAAAGUCCCUUUUAAACAGAUGCAUCUGUAGUCUGCUGGAAUCCAGUUUGACACACAGUCUAAUACACUUCCCAAAUGGUCCUGGUCUAAUGUAGUGCACUAUGUAGGGAAUAGGGUUCCAUUUUGUCUAAUGUAGUGCACUAUGUAGGGAAUAGGGUUCCAUUUUGUCUAAUGUAGUGCACUAUGUAGGGAAUAGGGUUCCAUUUGGUCUAAUGUAGUGCACUAUGUAGGGAAUAGGGUUCCAUUUAAAUACGAGUAAAUAAGAGGAAAACAUGAAUUUGUUUAUUUAUAUAUAAAAAAAGAUUACAAGGUAUUCUUGCUAAAAGUCGACACUGUCACUGUGUAGUCUGUGUUAAGUUACGUUUAGUAUUAAUAUAGGAAAAUGUCAUACAAAGAAACAACUCUAGGAAAUGAACAAUAUGAUUAGUUAAACAUUACACAAUAAUAUAUUAACUGAACUGCAUUGAUAAAGGAUAUUGAUUUAUGAUGAUAUAUGAAACUAAUGUACUUAUACACUGAUUACAUGAAUUCCUAAAACUCAGGCCUACUGUACCAGCAACAUGAGAGUUAAUUGUUAAUUGAACUUGUUCUUAACUUGCCUUCAUGGUUAAAUAAAAGUGAAAGAAAUAAAAAUUAUAUAUAUAAAAAAAGAGAAUGAUUUAAAAACCAACUGUGAAUGCUGUCAGCGCUUCAUUCAGGCCUGGGCUUUGUUCUAACGCUCCUGUAUGGGGUCUAUACAGUGGCUUUUCUGAAGGUUAGUGAUUGGUUGAUUGAUUGAUGAAGGAAUAAACUUGUGUAAUGAUUGGUUGGUAGCUUAAUUAGCAGGGGAGAGAGGGAUGCCAGUCAGCAGUGUUUGGAUGCAGCCUUGACCACAGCCUUCACCCACGGGAAUCUAGCCCUGACCACAGCCUUCACCCACGGGAAUCUAGCCCUGACCACAGCCUUCACCCACGGGAAUCUAGCCCUGACCACAGCCUUCACCCACAGGAAUCUAGCCCUGACCACAGCCUUCACCCACGGGAAUCUAGCCCUGACCACAGCCUUCACCCACAGGAAUCUAGCCCUGACCACAGCCUUCACCCACGGGAAUCUAGCCCUGACCACAGCCUUCACCCACGGGAAUCUAGGGAAGAGUCAACAAAAAAGCAAAUUCAUCAGCCUGGUACAUCAAGUGAUUUGACCAUACAGACCAAAACUUUUAACGUGAAUUUAAUCUAUUGUAAUUCAGACUCUGUUGAAGUUCAUUUCUGUCUGCGUUCCAUGGAAAUUCAGGGCUGUCAAAGAGUGCUGUCGCAGCAUCAAAUGACCUUCUUAACAUUGACGUUGUAUGUUGACAUUAAACACCACUGAUGCGUUGGGUUUACUUUGGUUAAAUAUGUAAAGACAGAGAAAAAUAACUACCUUUUCUUUUCUCCUCCUCUUUCUCUUCUUCCUCCUUGUGGAAAUUCUGUCCAUCUUUCUUAGUCCAGCUCAGUUUGAUAUCAGACACGACCUGCUUCUUCA